This 563-nucleotide ribosomal RNA is filed under the name uncultured bacterium. RNAcentral describes it as "bacterial SSU rRNA". It matches the Rfam family "Bacterial small subunit ribosomal RNA", at positions 355 to 905 of the family's 1533-position model. The record is from RNAcentral.
UGGGGAAUAUUGCACAAUGGGCGCAAGCCUGAUGCAGCCAUGCCGCGUGUGUGAAGAAGGCCUUCGGGUUGUAAAGCACUUUCAGUCGUGAGGAAGGUAGUGUAGUUAAUAGCUGCAUUAUUUGACGUUAGCGACAGAAGAAGCACCGGCUAACUCCGUGCCAGCAGCCGCGGUAAUACGGAGGGUGCGAGCGUUAAUCGGAAUUACUGGGCGUAAAGCGCAUGCAGGUGGUUUGUUAAGUCAGAUGUGAAAGCCCGGGGCUCAACCUCGGAAUAGCAUUUGAAACUGGCAGACUAGAGUACUGUAGAGGGGGGUAGAAGUUUCAGGUGUAGCGGUGAAAUGCGUAGAGAUCUGAAGGAAUACCGGUGGCGAAGGCGGCCCCCCUGGACAGAUACUGACACUCAGAUGCGAAAAGCGUGGGGAGCAAAACAGGAUUAGAUACCCUGGUAGUCCACGCCGUAAAACGAUGUCUACUUGGAGGUUGUGGCCUUGAGCCGUGGCUUUCGGAGCUAACGCGUUAAGUAGACCGCCUGGGAGUACGGUCGCAAGAUUAAAAGCUCAAA